GCAAGUUGCGCUUGAAGCCAUUAGGCUGAAGGCACGUCUGCCUGGGCGUCUCAUAAUGCGUCGCCCCCAACCCUUACUCCCUCCGGGGACGUGGGAACUUGGGGGCGGAUAUUGGCCCCCCGUGCGUUUCGGUGUGCGGUCGGCCUAAAAUCGAGUCUCGACGGCUGGCGUCACGACAAGUGGUGGUUGUAAAACCGACGUGCUGUCGCAUGCAUUACAGCCUUCGACGUUUUGACUCCAAGACCCUGCAGCUCCGUAUAAUACGGUGCCUCGACUGCGACCCCAGGUCAGGCGGGACUACCCGCUGAGUUUA
Molecule: ribosomal RNA, 313 nt
Filed under: Maesa japonica
Lineage: Eukaryota; Viridiplantae; Streptophyta; Magnoliopsida; Ericales; Primulaceae
Description: eukaryotic LSU rRNA
Source: RNAcentral